UACAUGCAGUCGAACGCACAGCGAAAGGUGCUUGCACCUUUCAAGUGAGUGGCGAACGGGUGAGUAACACGUGGACAACCUGCCUCAAGGCUGGGGAUAACAUUUGGAAACAGAUGCUAAUACCGAAUAAAACUUAGUGUCGCAUGACACAAAGUUAAAAGGCGCUUCGGCGUCACCUAGAGAUGGAUCCGCGGUGCAUUAGUUAGUUGGUGGGGUAAAGGCCUACCAAGACAAUGAUGCAUAGCCGAGUUGAGAGACUGAUCGGCCACAUUGGGACUGAGACACGGCCCAAACUCCUACGGGAGGCUGCAGUAGGGAAUCUUCCACAAUGGGCGAAAGCCUGAUGGAGCAACGCCGCGUGUGUGAUGAAGGCUUUCGGGUCGUAAAGCACUGUUGUAUGGGAAGAACAGCUAGAAUAGGAAAUGAUUUUAGUUUGACGGUACCAUACCAGAAAGGGACGGCUAAAUACGUGCCAGCAGCCGCGGUAAUACGUAUGUCCCGAGCGUUAUCCGGAUUUAUUGGGCGUAAAGCGAGCGCAGACGGUUUAUUAAGUCUGAUGUGAAAGCCCGGAGCUCAACUCCGGAAUGGCAUUGGAAACUGGUUAACUUGAGUGCAGUAGAGGUAAGUGGAACUCCAUGUGUAGCGGUGGAAUGCGUAGAUAUAUGGAAGAACACCAGUGGCGAAGGCGGCUUACUGGACUGCAACUGACGUUGAGGCUCGAAAGUGUGGGUAGCAAACAGGAUUAGAUACCCUGGUAGUCCACACCGUAAACGAUGAACACUAGGUGUUAGGAGGUUUCCGCCUCUUAGUGCCGAAGCUAACGCAUUAAGUGUUCCGCCUGGGGAGUACGACCGCAAGGUUGAAACUCAAAGGAAUUGACGGGGACCCGCACAAGCGGUGGAGCAUGUGGUUUAAUUCGAAGCAACGCGAAGAACCUUACCAGGUCUUG
RNAcentral lists this ribosomal RNA (949 nucleotides) under Leuconostoc mesenteroides. RNAcentral describes it as "bacterial SSU rRNA". It matches the Rfam family "Bacterial small subunit ribosomal RNA", at positions 52 to 983 of the family's 1533-position model. The record is from RNAcentral. Lineage: Bacteria; Bacillati; Bacillota; Bacilli; Lactobacillales; Lactobacillaceae.